UGCCAUGAUGUUCUGUCUUUCCAGCAGAUGAUAUGAGGCUUGAUCUGGUGCAGGUGGUCUGAAGAUCAACCUCUCCAAUGGCCCAUGAAGCUGCCUGCCCAGCAUCAACUCUGCUGGAGUUUUGCCAGUGGUUUCCUGGUUUGUUUGAGGGUGAUAACUGGUCGUGAGUUUUUGGGAAAUGCCCCAGGUCUUGCAGAGCUCGGCCAGAACAUUGGAGAGGGAACAUUUCCACCCAUUUUGUGUAGUAGUCAACUACCAUAAGG
Molecule: long non-coding RNA, 263 nt
Organism: Megalobrama amblycephala (Wuchang bream)
Lineage: Eukaryota; Metazoa; Chordata; Actinopteri; Cypriniformes; Xenocyprididae
Exons: 3
Source: RefSeq, a predicted model, not a curated record